UGUCUAUUACCAUUCUUGGUAGUGACCGGUGGCGGCAAGUGUGAUGGUGCCGUUGAGUUGGUGGGCCAGCUCAAGGCCGGCCUGAGGGUGAGCCGUGAGGCCUGACAGCUGUUAGUGUUGCCUGUGACACGAUGCAGGCUAGUCGGGCGGGAGGAUGGUGGCGCAAUUCAGGCACUGGCUGUGGCCACACGUAGUAUUCAUAUUGGCGGUGCAUGUUUCGGAGUGUGCUUUUAAUAUAUUCAGAUAUCCUCUCAGUAGCAUAGAAAGGAAAUAUGGAAGCCUCCCAGAAAGUGAGCGCCUCAAGCUUAAGGAAGAUACGAGGGAUAUGUUUUACUUCGGCUACGACAACUACAUGAAGUAUGCCUAUCCAGAGGACGAGCUCAACCCUAUUCUUUGCCGCGGCCGAGGACCAGAUCGUGAUGACCCGUCCAACAUCAACAUCAAUGACAUCCUUGGUGACUAUUCCCUUACUCUCAUUGAUGCUCUGGACACCUUAGCCAUCCUUGGUGAUGUGGGAGAGUUUCGACGUGCUGUGCAACUUGUCAUAGAAAAUGUCAACUUUGACAAAAACUCAACAGUGCAGGUGUUUGAAGCUAAUAUUAGACUAUUGGGUGCUUUAUUGUCUGCUCACUUACUCAUAGAGGACAAGAGUCAGCCAUUUGGGAACCUAGAACCAGAGUGGUACAAUGGAGAACUUUUGGAAAUGGCAUCUGAUUUGGCCUCUCGCUUCAUGCCAGCCUUUGAGAGCUCCAAGACUGGCCUCCCACACCCAAGGGUAAAUUUGCGCAGUGGGGUGCCAGAGGGGAGUCGCACAGACACUUGCACAGCUGGAGCUGGCUCCCUGCUGGUUGAGUUUGGGGUUCUGAGUCGCUUGAUUGGAGACCCUGUAUACGAGAUGUCAGCCAGAAGAGCCAACAGAGUACUGUGGAGACUCAGGAAUGAAAAUACAGGUUUAUUAGGGAAUGUGGUGGAUGUGGACACAGGUAAAUGGGUUGGGGAGCUGAGUGGUGUUGGAGCCGGUCUGGACAGCUUCUAUGAAUACCUCCUGAAGGCCUAUAUAUUGUUUGGUCAUCCAGAGGACUACUAUAUGUUUAAUGAAACUUACAGCCUCAUCAAACAUUAUAUGAGAAGGGGGCGUCCUGAAUGUAAUUCUGGUGUUGGAGAUCAUCCACUCUAUGUUAAUGUGGACAUGAAAAAUGGAGGUACACACACUACUUGGAUAGACUCCCUCCAAGCUGCAUUUGCUGGGAUUCAAGUCUUAGCUGGUGACAUGGAAGAGGCUAUCUGUACACAUGCUCUUUAUUAUACCAUCUGGAAAAAAUAUGGAGUGUUGCCAGAGAGAUUCAAUUGGCAAAGGAUCUCUCCAGAUGUGAUGUUUUAUCCACUGAGACCAGAAUUUGUGGAGUCAACAUAUCUACUGUAUCAGGCAACCAAGAAUCCAUUUUACUUGCAUGUUGGACGGGACAUCCUCACUUCCCUCAACAACUUGACUCGGGCACGUUGUGGCCAUGCUACAGUCCACUCUGUCCUGGAUAUGACUUUGGAGGAUCGUAUGGAAUCAUUCUUCCUUUCAGAGACCUGCAAGUACUUAUAUUUGUUGUUUGAUGCAGAUAACCCCAUCAAUCUGAACUCUGGCCGCUAUAUGUUCACCACAGAGGGCCAUGUGUUACCAUUGGCACCUUGGUUACGCCGGCACACCUGGGAGGAUGGCCUCUUCCAGGACGACAGUCCCCCACCUUACACCAACUUCUCUUUUGCCAGUUGUGCAGCCAUCAAUGAAGAAAGGAUACAUAGGUUGCCCCUGAAAAGCCAGUACCUGGAGCAGAUAUCUUUUUCUCUUGGAGUGGAGUUAUGAUGGCUGGCUUAAUAGUCACUUGUGCCUUGUAAAUAGGGACCUCAUCGCCCUGUUAUAGGAUUGCUUCCAAAACAUAUAUAUAUAUAUAUAUAUAUAUAUAUAUAUAUAUAUAUAUAUAUAUAUAUAUAUAUAUAUAUAUAUAUAUAUAUAUAUAUAUAUAUAUAUAUAUAUAUAUAUAUAUAUAUAUAUAUAUAUAUAUAUAUAUAUAUAAUGUGUGUGUGUGUGUGUGUGUGUGUGUGUGUGUGUGUGUGUGUGUCGGGUAACACAGUCAUCUUCAGUGACACUAAAAGUGAGAUGUAAAUAAUUGUUAUACUGUAAUUUAUAGUUCUUAAUGCCUUAAGAUAUGAAAUUUGUGAUAUGAAUCAUCAUUUUAAACAUACUGUAUUGAAAUAAUCUGUUCACUCACUGAUAUAACAGGCUUUGUUUUGGUACCUAUUUCUUUGUUGGAAGAAUAAAGGCUGUGAAGUAUAUCAACAUUCCUGCAAGAGGGACUAAGGAGCAUACUUGUAAAUAGGUGUAUCUUAUAUGCUGGCAUAUGUGCCAAGGCUAUAAGCAUCCUUCCACUCUUUAUUUUCUGAUUUUAGGGUCAAAACUUAUGUAUGGAAAACCUACCUCAAAAUAUAUAAAUGAACAAUAAUAAUAAUAAUAAUAAUAAUAAUAACAAUAAAGAAAUAAAAUAAUUACUGUCCCACAAGGGUAAAUGGGAGAUGAUCACAACAUCUUUAUUCACAUUAUACAGACUUUCAACCUAAAUAAAAUAUUUCCAUUACAUGCCAAUAUAAUAAGACAUCUUGUGUAUGUUUCAUGUGGUUUUAAACAACUGAAGUUAUGCAUGUAAAACCAUAGAAAGCAACACUUCCUACAAAACAUUUAUUUUUUAUUAUGAUUUUGAUUUUGAUUGUGUAAGAUUUUGCAAGAUAGUUAACUUUUGUUUUUUUUUAUCUAUUCUAUUACCAUGUUAAUAUAAUAAAUCUAUGUAGAGAUUAACAUAGCAUCAUUUAGUUAUGUGACUUUCUUAAUCUGUUAUGUUAUGCUUGCACACAAAUUACACUCAAAGUAGAUCUGGAGAACAAUUACUAAAAAUGGACAACUUUGAAGAAAAACGGACAUCUGAAAUUGAAGCACAGAAGAAUUCCUUUAUUGAGUCAAAACUUCAAUACAAGGCCAUGUGCAAAACACAAAAAUGUUAUGUUUAUAUAUUCAUAAACUUUAGAUGUGAUUUGUGAAUAAUUAAAUAAUAGUGCUUACUAUGAUUUUACCAAGCAUACCCUCAAAUGUUCUAUAAAAGUAGAUUAGCAUGUAAGUGUCUUGAGUUCCAAAUGCAAAAAAAAAAUCCACUAUUUGAAUGAAUAGAAAUGUUUUAUAUUUGGCAUUAUAAAGAUUUGCCAAUUUUGUUUAACAUGUUGGGUUAUCAUAAUAAAACAUUGUGCAUUGUAUUAAUCCCUAGUAUGUAACUGAAAAUUUUAUUCCUAUUGCUAAUGAUAACAAAGUAUAUCUUAGUGUGUGUAGCAUGUUGAAUUACCUGGUGAUUACUGAUUCUAUAUGAUAUUGAAGAUACCAACAUAUGUAUUACCAAAAAUAAUCAAGCUAUAGUUUACUGACAGUACUAGCUCACUGAAUGUACAUGUGAUGUUUAAAAAAAUUUUUUAGGAGACAUUUUAUGUGUUGGAUAACCACUAUGAAAUUGCAUAAAUCUUUUCCUUUGAAGUUACUCAAUUAGUUGGUGGCAUCACUAAUCUAACUCAGAACAGCAGCAUCUGAAUCCUCAUUACAAGUGUGGAAAUCAUGAUUAUAAAUUCAGUGGAAAUUAAUCAGAAUUGUUGCAGUAUGAAGGACAACUAGAAACAAUCCUUUCUUUUUUCCUGACAAAUGGCAGUUAAAUUCCUAAGGCAAGAACACUUUACAAUGCAGUUAUUGAUCUAAGUGUUUUUUAUUGUCAAUGAUGAUACUUGAGUGUCAUUGAAGAAGAGGGGAUAGUUGUCUGGAAGGUUGUGUGAAGCUGAUAGGUGGAGGAAUUGAAUUUUUGAGACAUUGAACAAUAAUAAGUUUGCUCUGCCACAAUCAGAAAUUUUCAAGAGAUCGGAACUCAGGUGUUCUAUGACUUCCCUACAUGAACUGUUAAACUUCCUGAAGCACUGGAUGUCUACAAAAAGAUGUGGAAAAGUGCAGGGUGGUAUCAUCAGCGUAGGAGUAGAUAGGACAAGAAAUUUAGUUUAGAAGAUAAUUGAUGAAUAAUAGAAAAAGAGUGGGUGACAGGACAGAACCCUGAGGAACACCACUGUUAUUAGUUUUUGGAGAAGAACAGUGACCGUCUACAACAGCAGCAAUAGAAUGGUCAGAAAGGAAAUUUGAGAUAAAGUUACAGAGAGAAGGAUAGAAGCCAUAGGAGGAUAGUUUGGAAAUCAAAGCUUUGUGUCAGACUCUAUCAAAAGCUUUUGAUAUGUCUAAGGCAACAGCAAAAGUUUCACCAAAAUUUCUAAAAGAGGAUGACCAAGACUCAGUAAGGAAAGCCAGAUCACCAGUAGAGCAGCCUUGAUGGAAUCCAUACUGGCAAUCAGAUAGAAGGUUGUGAAGUGAUAGAUGUUUAAGAAUCUUCCUGUUGAGGUUAGAUUCAAAAUAGAUAUUUAAGAAUCUUCCUGUUGAGGAUAGAUUAAAAAAAAAUUUAGAUAGGCAGGAAAUUAAAGCUAUAGGAUGGUAGUCUGAAGGAUUAGAACAGCAAAAAGAAAAGGUAGAUAUUGAUAGAGUUGAAAGAGUUUUGACUAGGCAAGGUGCAAGUAUAGAGGCACAGUUUCAGAUCGGAACUCAGGUGUUCUAUGACUUCCCUACAUGAACUGUUUACUUCCUGAAGGACUGGAUGUCUACAAAAAGAUGUGGAAAAGUGCAGGGUGGUAUCAUCAGCGUAGGAGUAGAUAGGACAAGAAAUUUAGUUUAGAAGAUAAUUGAUGAAUAAUAGGAAAAGAGUGGGUGACAGGACAGAACCCUGAGGAACACCACUGUUACUAGUUUUUGGAGAAGAACAGUGACCGUCUACAACAGCAGCAAUAGAAUGGUCAGAAAGGAAAUUUGAGAUAAAGUUACAGAGAGAAGGAUAGAAGCCAUAGGAGGAUAGUUUGGAAAUCAAAGCUUUGUGUCAGACUCUAUCAAAAGCUUUUGAUAUGUCUAAGGCAACAGCAAAAGUUUCACCAAAAUUUCUAAAAGAGGAUGACCAAGACUCAGUAAGGAAAGCCAGAUCACCAGUAGAGCAGCCUUGAUGGAACCCAUACUGGCAAUCAGAUAGAAGGUUGUGAAGUGAUAGAUGUUUAAGAAUCUUCCUGUUGAGGUUAGAUUCAAAAUAGAUAUUUAAGAAUCUUCCUGUUGAGGAUAGAUUAAAAAAAAAUUUAGAUAGGCAGGAAAUUAAAGCUAUAGGAUGGUAGUCUGAAGGAUUAGAACAGCAAAAAGAAAAGGUAGAUAUUGAUAGAGAGUUGAAAGAGUUUUGACUAGGCAAGGUGCAAGUAUAGAGGCACAGUUUCAGAUCGGAACUCAGGUGUUCUAUGACUUCCCUACAUGAACUGUUUACUUCCUGAAGGACUGGAUGUCUACAAAAAGAUGUGGAAAAGUGCAGGGUGGUAUCAUCAGCGUAGGAGUAGAUAGGACAAGAAAUUUAGUUUAGAAGAUAAUUGAUGAAUAAUAGGAAAAGAGUGGGUGACAGGACAGAACCCUGAGGAACACCACUGUUAUUAGUUUUUGGAGAAGAACAGUGACCGUCUACAACAGCAGCAAUAGAAUGGUAAAGGAAAUUUGAGAUAAAGUUACAGAGAGAAGGAUAGAAGCCAUAGGAGGAUAGUUUGGAAAUCAAAGCUUUGUGUCAGACUCUAUCAAAAGCUUUUGAUAUGUCUAAGGCAGCAGCAAAAGUUUCACCAAAAUUUCUAAAAGAGGAUGACCAAGACUCAGUAAGGAAAGCCAGAUCACCAGUAGAGCAGCCUUGAUGGAACCCAUACUGGCAAUCAGAUAGAAGGUUGUGAAGUGAUAGAUGUUUAAGAAUCUUCCUGUUGAGGUUAGAUUCAAAAUAGAUAUUUAAGAAUCUUCCUGUUGAGGAUAGAUUAAAAAAAUUUAGAUAGGCAGGAAAUUAAAGCUAUAGGAUGGUAGUCUGAAGGAUUAGAAGAGCAGUAGAUGCAAGGAGGAGGCAGUAGACACCUGCCGAAACGAUAAUUACUCCCAGUGAGGUCUAAAGCACUGUUCAUGGGGUGCUGUGAACUUAUCAUUAAACCCAGCUGUGACCUCACUGAACGUUUCCCUUUGUGUCUCACAACACAAGGGGGCAGUCACAGCCUGCCCUCUAAAGACAACUCUCUUCCUCCACACAAAACUACAAGCAUCUAAUAACACACACACCCUUCACUCAAAAAUUUUAAUAUCAUGGCGAAUCCUACACCAGCCUCGGAGUCUCCAUCUGGGGAGGGGACCAUAAAUGUCCCCAGGUCGGACUGCCUUUCUGUCGACGACUCUAAGUGUCUUGACACCCCCCUCAACUUUUUCUUCAUUAACUUCUGCAACAUUCGCGGUCUAAGAUCUAAUUUUCAAUCUGUAGAACACCACCUCUCCUCUUCUAAACCUCAUCUUCUUUUCCUCACUGAAACUCAGGUGUCUGAGGCAACUGACAGUAGCCCCUUUUCUGUUCCCUCCUACUUUCUCUAUCCUCAUUUUCGAUCCAAAGCUGGAUGCUGCGUUUAUGUGCGCAAUGACUUAACCUGCUCUCGUGCCCACGCUCUUGAAUCUUCCAAGUUUUCCACCAUCUGGCUACGACUACAGAGUCAUUCUCAUACUAAAUUUAUCUGUGCUGUAUACCUCUCUCCUAACUCCUCUGACUAUAAGAAAUUCUUUGACUACUUAACUUCCAAAGUGGAGCACAUUCUGACCCUCUUCCCUCUUGCAGAGAUCUCCAUUCUUGGAGAUUUCAAUGUUCACCACCAGCUUUGGCUUUCCUCUCCCUUCACUGACCAUCCUGGUGAACUAGCCUACAACUUUGCUAUCCUCCAUGACCUAGAGCAAUUGGUGCAACACCCUACUCGUAUUCCUGACCGUCUUGGAGAUACGCCCAACAUUCUUGACCUUUUCCUGACCUCUAAUCCUUCUGCUUAUGCUGUCACCCUUUCUUCUCCGUUGGGCUCCUCCGAUCACAAUCUCAUAUCUGUAUCUUGUCCUAUCACUCCAAUCCCUCCUCAGGAUCCCCCUAAGCGAAGGUGCCUCUGGCGUUUUGCCUCUGCUAGUUGGGGGAACCUGAGGAGGUAUUUUGCUGAUUUUCCUUGGAAUGACUACUGCUUCCGUGUCAGAGACCAAUCUUUGUGUGCUGAGCGCAUAACAGAGGUGAUAGUGUCUGGCAUGGAGGAGUACAUUCCUCACUCUUUUUCUCAUCCUAAACCUUCUAAACCUUGGUUUAACACAGCUUGUUCUCAUGCUAUACAUGAUAGAGGUGGCCCACAAAAGGUACUUAAGCCUUCCAUCACCAGAAUCUCAUGCACUUUAUAUUUCUGCCCGGGACCAUGCCAAGUCUGUUCUCCAACUAGCCAAAAACUCCUUCAUUAACAGAAAAUGUCAAAGCCUUUCAAGAUCUAACUCCCCUUGUGAUUUCUGGCAUCUAGCCAAAAAUAUCUCCAAUAACUUUGCUUCUUCUUCUUUCCCUCCUCUACUUCAACCAGAUGGUGCCACUGCUAUCACAUCUAUUUCUAAAGCUGAACUCUUUACUCAAACCUUUGCUAAAAACUCUACCUUGGAUGAUUCUGGGCUUGUUCCUCCCUCUCCUCCACCCUCUGACUACUUCAUGCCACCUAUUAAAAUUCUUCGCAAUGAUGUUUUCCAUGCCCUCGCUGGCCUAAACCCUCGGAAGGCUUAUGGAACUGAUGGGGUCCCUCCUAUUGUUCUCCGAAAUUGUGCUUCCGUGCUUGCACCUUGCCUAGUCAAACUCUUUCAGCUCUGUUUGUCAACAUCUACCUUUCCUUCUUGCUGGAAGUUUGCCUACAUUCAACCUGUUCCUAAAAAGGGUGACCACUCUAAUCACUCAAACUACUGUCCUAUUGCUUUAAUUUCCUGCUUAUCUAAAGUUUUUGAAUCUAUCCUCAACAGGAAGAUUCUUAAACAUCUAUCACUUCACAACCUUCUAUCUGAUCGCCAGUAUGGGUUCCAUCAAGGCCGCUCUACUGGUGAUCUUCUGGCUUUCCUUACUGAGUCUUGGUCAUCCUCUUUUAGAGAUUUUGGUGAAACUUUUGCUGUUGCCUUGGACAUAUCAAAAGCCUUUGAUAGAGUCUGGCACAAAGCUUUGAUUUCUAAACUACCCUUCUACGGUUUCUAUCCUUCUCUCUGUAACUUCAUCUCAAGUUUCCUUUCUGACCGUUCUAUUGCUGCUGUGGUAGACGGUCACUGUUAUUCUCCUAAAUCUAUUAACAGUGGUGUUCCUCAGGGUUCUGUCCUGUCACCCACUCUCUUCUUAUUAUUCAUUAAUGAUCUCCUAAACCAAACUUCUUGUCCUAUCCACUCCUACGCUGAUGAUACCACCCUGCACUUUUCCACAUCUUUUCAUAGACGUCCAACCCUUCAGGAGGUAAACAUUUCACGCAGGGAAGCCAUAGAACGCCUGACUUCUGAUCUUUCUAAAAUUUCUGAUUGGGGCAGAGCAAACUUGGUAUUGUUCAAUGCCUCAAAAACUCAAUUCCUCCAUCUAUCAACUCGACACAACCUUCCAGACAACUAUCCCCUCUUCUUCAAUGACACUCAACUGUCCCCCUCUUCUACACUGAACAUCCUCGGUCUGUCCUUUACUUAUAAUCUGAACUGGAAACUUCACAUCUCAUCUCUAGCUAAAACAGCUUCUAUGAAGUUAGGUGUUCUGAGGCGUCUCCGCCAGUUUUUCUCACCCUCCCAGCUGCUAACUCUGUACAAGGGCCUUAUCCGUCCAUGUAUGGAGUAUGCUUCACAUGUCUGGGGGGUUCCACUCAUACUGCUCUUCUAGACAGGGUGGAAUCAAAAGCUUUUCAUCUCAUCAACUCCUCUCCUCUAACUGACUGUCUUCAGCCUCUCUCUCACCACCGCAAUGUUGCAUAUCUAGCUGUCUUCUACCGCUAUUUUCAUGCUAACUGCUCUUCUGAUCUUGCUAACUGCAUGCCUCCCCUCCUUCCACGGCCUCGCUGCACAAGACUUUCUUCUUUCUCUCACCCCUAUUCUGUCCACCUCUCUAAUGCAAGAGUUAACCAGUAUUCUCAAUCAUUCAUCCCUUUCUCUGGUAAACUUUGGAACUCCCUGCCUGCUUCUGUAUUUCCACCUUCCUAUGACUUGGAUUCCUUCAAGAGGGAGGUUUCAAGACACUUAUCCACCAAUUUUUGACUACUGCUUUGACCCAUUUAUGGGACUGGCAUUUCAGUGGGCAUUUUUUUAUUAGAUUUUUGUUGCCCUUGGCCAGUAUCCUUCCUACAUAUAUAAAAAAAAAAAAAAGAAAAAGUAGAUAUUGAUAGACAGAGUUGAAAGUGUUUUGACUAGGCAAGGUGCAAGUAUAGAGGCACAGUUUCAGUGAACAAUAGGAGGUUCAUAAGCCUUAUGAGGGUUUAGGCCAGCAAAAGUAUGGAAAACAUUGUGAAGGAUCUUAAUGAGUAACAUGAAGUAGCUGGAGACUGGAGAGGGAGGAACAAGCCCUGAGUCAUCUAAGGCAGGGUUUUUAGCAAAGGUUUGAGUGAAGAAUUCAACUUUAGAAAUGGAUGAGAUGGCAGUGGUGUCAUUAGGAUGAAAUAAAGGAUGGAAAGAAGAAGCAAAGUCAUUGGUGAUGUUUUUGAUUAGGUGUCUCUAAAGUCAUGAGGGAAGUUAGAUCUUGAAAGAUUUUGACAUUUUCCAUUAAUGGAGAUUUUGGUUAAUUGGAGAACAGACUUGGCAUGAUUCCGGGCAGAAAUGUAAAGUGCACGAGAUUUCAGAUGAUGGAAGGCUCAAGUACCUUUUGCAGGCCACCUCUCUACCAUGUAUAGCAUGAGAACAGGCUGUGUUAAACCAAGCUUUUAAAGCUUGGUUUAGGUCUUAGUUUAGGUCAAGAGAAAGAGCGAGAAAUGUAUGCCUCCAUGCCAAACACUAUCACCUCUGUUAUGCGCUCAGCACACAGAGACAGGUCUCUGACAUGGAAGCAGAAGUCAUUCCAAGGAAAAUCAGCAUAAUACCUCCUUAGGUCCCCUCAAUUAGCAGAGGCAAAAUGCCAGAGGCACCUCUGCUUUAGGGGAUCUUGAGGAGGGAUUGGAGGGAUAGGACAAGACACAGAUAUAAGACUGUGAUUGGAGGAGCCCAACAGAGAAAGUAGUAACAGCAUAAACAGAAGGAUUAGAAUGUUGGGUGUAUCUCCAAGACAGUCAGGAAUACGAGUAGGUUGUUGCACCACUUGCUCUAGGUCAUGGAGGAUAGCAAAUUUAAAGGCUAGUUCACUAGGAUGGCCAGUGUAGGGAGAGGAAAGCCAAAGCUGGUGAACAUUGAAGUUUCCAAGAAUGGAGAUCUCCACAAAAGGGAAGAGAGUCAGAAUGUGCUCCACUCUGAAAGUUAAGUAGUCAAAGAAUUUGUUAUAGUCAGAGGAGUUAGGUGAGGUAUAUAGCACAAAUUAAUUUAGUUUGAAUGUGAUUCUGUAGUCAUAGCCAGAUGGUGUAAAACUCACAAGAUUCAAGGGUUUGGGCAUGAGAGCAGGUUAAGUCGUUGCACAUAUAGACACAACAUCCAGCUUUGGAUUGAAAAUGAGGAUAGAGAAAGUAGGAGGGAACAGAAGUGGGGCUGCUGAAAAGAAAAGGCUUGUUUGCUCAUGAAUGGGUUGCUGUGAGUGACCCAGAAGAGGAUGAAAGGGAAGUGAUGGUUAUGCAAACAGAGGGACUGUCAAAUAAGCAGUCUCAUUAAUAUCAGAAGGGAGAAGGAACAGAUGAGCAGCCUAACACCAAACUGCCUUGCAACAAACCCCAUAAGUUGCUGAUAGAACAGCCUGCAUCUACACCAUAAUCAAGAAAGCCACCAGAUUUACUGGUAAGAAUGUGGACAUCACUGCAGCAUCCAGGACUAAAUCAAUCAUCUGUAGUCAUUUAUGUACAGCCCACGGAUGGUAGGAACAUCAUUCUAAACCUUGUUCGUUUAACCACAACUUUGAACAAGUCUCCUCUAGGAAAAGAUUUCAUCCAAAGAUGUGAGCAGUGUCUGGGCACAGGCCAGGCUAUCAGACUGGAAAUAAUUAGGCAACCUGAAUAAACUGUCAGCCCUCUUGGAAGAAAUUACAAAUCUAGUACCAUGGAAGGUACAAUGUUAGGAAUCUAGGGGCCUAAAUCCUGGCUUUAUUUAUGGCAAGGUGGACCUACUAGAAAAGAACUACACCAGUGAGAAACUGGCAAAUGAUUUUCCUUCCUAAACCACUGUGGGGUAGCACUGAGGGAGGUUCUACUCCCACAAAGGGCAGAUGGUUCCAGAUUCUACUGCUUGGCAUUCCAUGGUUCUUGUCUACCAGGUAAGAUCCUCCUUAGUUGGUAGACAAGAGCCCUGGCAUGCCAAGUGGAAGAAUUUAGAACCAUCUGCCCUUGGUGGGAGUAGAAGAACCUCCAUCAGUGCUGCUCCCACCAAAGGUAGAUGGUUCCAGAUUCUACUGCUUUGGCAUUCCAUGGCACUUGAGUACCAAGUAAGAUUCUGCUUAGUUGGUAGACAAGAGCCCUGGCAUGCCAAGCAGGAGAAUUUAGAAUCAUCUGCCCUUGGUGGGAGUAGAAGAACCUCCAUCAGUGCUGCCCCAUAGAGGUUUAGGAAGGAAAAAUCAUUUACCAAUUCCGCUGUUAACACAAACUGCCAGCCCUGCGCUGCUAAAAUUGUUACCUGUUUGGUCACAGUGCAUAAUCGUGCAGACAGAAGAUAAGGUCCACAAACUGCAGUUUCAAAUCCUCUAAGGGCAGUAAAUGCUUCAGUCCACCUUUCUGUUAUUUCUGCUGGGAAAACUACUGCCUCAAACAGUGAAUCCUGCCCUGUCCUCCACAGAGUGAAGGAAAUCAGCAACAACUACCAACAACAAAAAUGAUGUGCAGGAAACUAACAAGCUGAGGGCUAUCAUCCCUUGUACUAUACUCCCCAACUCUAUUCCUGCCUCCAUCAACACUACAAACACCAAUCAAGUGCUUCAACAACAUACAACCAGGAUAACAGCAAGUAUAAUGCUGAAUAACUCCUAUGCUAUCUUCAGUGACAUUGCCAAUGACUCUGACAAGGACUUUUUCAUUAAGCAAACAUCUCAAAUUACAUCCCCACACCAAGACUUCCUAAACACUAUCAGAAACAACAACGUUCUACCCGCAACACCCCUGCACUCCAUCAAGCAGCAUCCACUCAAAGCACCAGUCUUCAUCCACCAAGCUGUUUCACCACCAUACAACACACCAACUCAAACGAGAGAGGACAACCCAGCUCCCCAGGCUUAUGCAGCAAAGGUGAAAGGACACAGACAUCAGGUACAUACCACUAAUACAAAUUUGAACAUUGCAAAACCCAGUGAUAUCAACUGGUUCUCCUUCCUACCCUCCUUAUUUCAUCUUCUCCAUAAAGGAUUCCAGCUUCACCAACAAGGUAACUCUGUCCUGCAGAUAAUCAGACACCUCUUACCUGCCAUUCUUUCUCUCUGUUAUCUUCAAACAUGGCCUCUCCCUCCUGUCAUACCAUUAUCUGGAAUGCCAGAUCACUUGUACACAAGCUCAGUGAUAUCAAAUUAUAUGCAAAGAAGCACCUUCCAUUCAUUAUCGGCAUUUUUUAAACCUAGCUGCAUCCUCACCUUGCUAUCUCAUUCAGAGGUUACAUCAUCUACACUCAUUCUACAGGGAUGAAAGGCCAAACAGGCAGGGGUGGGUUGGGUGGGGGGGCUUGCCAUUCUAGUACAUGACUCAGAGGCCUUUAUACCCAUUUCUCUAAAUAGAUUCCCUGGAAGAAUACUGGAAACACUUCCUUUUCGUGUUUCCCUGCCCAGAGGGCAGGCCACCAUUCUCAUUUUCUACAACACCUGUGCAGAAUUAAUUAGUGGAGAACAGACUCAUUACUCAGUUACCCCCACCCAGACUAGUGAUAGCAGACCUCAAUGCUCAACAUUCAUAUUGGCAACUUACCCUCUCACUCUUCUCACAACUCAUCUUGCUUGCCAUUCACUUUUCAAUGCAUUGUUUGCCUUACCAUCUUUCAUCCUUCUCACCUCUCUAGACUUAGCCAUGAGGGUUGACCUAGGAAAAUCUUAAGAACAACGCACCCAAGAUUAUUUUCAAUAUGGUGUGCUUUCAAGAAGUGUAAGUAGUAUAGCUACAUGUCUGUAAAGGUUUUACUGAUUGCUCGUUGAUAUUAAGGUUACAAUACAAUGUUAAAGUUUCUCCAGUAUUCCCGAGAUCCGUCCUGCUUACCUGUCCGUGCUGAAGUUACACUGUGUGCGUUCGUGCAUUGGUUUACACGCAGGGUGCUUUUGCGCAUGCUCCUAAGUCUAUGGGGGGUCCAGGGGGGGCUGCGCCCCCCCGGUUAGGUUAGGUUAAAAGCAUAGGUUAGAUUAAGUUAGGUUAAAAGCAUAGGUUAUGUUAGUAACCUUAGGGAGGGUCCAGGGGGGGGCACAGCCCCCCCUGGACCCUCUAACAGGUUAACUAACCUGGACCCCUAACAGGUUAACUAACCUGUUAGGUUAGGUAUAUAAUUAUUCUGGCGUAUUGGUUAAAACAAAUUUUACCCCAAUUUUUGUUUAUUCUAGGGAAAUUUCCCUAGAUUUUCAAAGUCCAUUUAUCGGUCUUUUAUGUCCCCCCCCAAAAAAAAAACCCGACUCCCCACGUGAUCCCCAAGCUUGUUGGGAAAGAGGGGAAAAGAUUAAUAAGAUGUGUGUGGAGGUGUAUUUCUUAAGAAUUAUCCCCCCAAAUUUUUUUUAUUCUAAGGAAAUUUCCCUAGAUUUUCAAAGUCCAUUUAUCGGUCUUUUAUGUCCUCCCCCCCAAAAAAAAACCCGAUUCCCCACGUGCCCCCAAGCUUGUUGGGGGAGAGGGGAAAAGAUUAAUAAGAUAUGUGUGGAGGUGUAUUUCUUAAGAAUUACCGACAAGAUCCAUAACAGGCAGUGAUCAUCUUCUUGUACUCAAUCUUCCUCAAUCCACACUUAGAUCAUGCUGGUUUUUUCUCCUCAGGGAUCUGGGAAAAAUAUAAAACCAUAACCAACAUCCCUAUAUAUGUCAUGGGACAAAUAGUAAAAACAAUAAGUUAAAAUAGAAGAUAAUGCCAUUUGGAUCACCUGAAGAUCCGCCACCCCAGCCGCACUCGGGGUGGCAGAUCUUCAGGUGGGACAAUCUGGGGUGGCGGAUCUUCAGGUGAUCCCAUACUUUUAAUGAAGUAAACUUUUUUCUGCAUUUUUUAUAUCCACUCAGUUUUUUAAUGCGUUCAUGUUGUUAGGUUAGGUUAGGUUAGGCUAACCUAACCUAACCUAACCUAACCAAGUGAGAGAGUCUGGGGUGGCGGAUCUUCAGGUGAGACAAUCUGGGGUGGCAGAUCUUCAGGUGAUCCCUGUGGGGUGGCGGAUCUUCAGGUGAUCCUGCCAUUUGAAUGGCAAUCAUGAAAAAAAUUAUUUAGAAUAGCCUAAAGAAAUUAUCAUGAAUAUAAAUACUUGUUUUUCUCCUUGGAUUUCUAAGUAAAAUUUUGCAUAUUUUUGAGCUAAGUAAGAAUUUAGAACAAAAAUUUUGUGGAAUUGUAUGUAAGAAAUUAACUAAAUUAUAUGUUGAUAUAUUGAGAUGAGGAAAGCGGGCAUGGAUGAAUACUAUCCUCCCAACCCACACACAUACACACACAACGAUGGAGAAACUGUAAAACACCAUGUUCUCAGCUUUUGGUAUGCCAGUCAGAUAAAAAAAAAAAAAUCCAUAUCACAAGAUGUUGCAGAAUAAUUGGAAAUAUGUAAGAACUGAUAACUAUGUAAUUAUAAAGAAAUUCUGAGAUUAAUGUUUGAGGUCAAAAUUUGCUAAUAGUGUUAAGACCUGGCAAUAUGUGGGACAGUUUGUUAAAAAUGUUCAAGAACAAUUUGAAAGUAGAGAAGGGUGAUAAACUUUUAAGGAUACUGAGAAGAAAUUACUUUCAUUUAUGCAGAAGGAUUUUGUUUUUAUGGGGUGCAGCCCAUAAUACUUGGCACAAAUUUGCAGCCAGAAAUGCCAACCAGAGGGCUUGUCAACAGACUGCUUGGAAACACACAAGACUUACAGGCAGGAAAGGGCUUGAUACUCCCUACUGCUUACAGGCCCAUUGAUCUCCUGUCCUGGCAAAGUAAUGAGAGGAUAGUCUAAAAUCAACUCACCUGGUGGCUGGAAAACAACAACCUCCUCCCAGCCUAUCAGUUCAAUUUUCACCCUCAAAGAAGCACAGAAAACAUUCUCUCAAUCUUAAAAUAUUCCAUCAAGAAGACCUACCAGAUUCAGACUGUACUUCUUUCUGUCUUUAUCAUCUUGCAGGCAGCCUUUGACACAGCGUCGCCCGGAUGAAUAAUCUCAAAACUAUCUAUACUUGGUAUUCCAAGUGAUAAUGGAGCACACUUAAAAUGAUUCCAAAGCUUCCUGACAGAUCAUACCAGAAUGCAGCACAGAGAGACACUUGUGGUAUGAGUGCAAAGAAAAGAUGAAGUAAAGAGGAACAUGGUACACUAGCUAUGAAGUGCCCAAAAAAGAACAAAUUAUUUUGAAGGAAAAAAGAAGGGAGGAGACAGAGACAGAACAUGAAUUCUGCAGACAUAGUAAGAGGACAGGGUAACAUGCAGUGAUGUGACCGGGUGGUGUAGAGCGUGUGACGUGUGUAGUGCAAAGAAGGGCCCCACCAGGAAAAACUGUGCCCUGUUACAGGUGUACAGCGUGGGGGUGCCCAUGGAGCAGGUAGCUGUGGACAUUGCCGGCCCGCUGCCUCUCACGCCAUGGGGUAACCGGUACAUCUGUGUGGUGAUGGAUUAUUUCACUAAGUGGCCCGAGGCGUAUGCGCUCCCUAACCACAAGGCCGAGACAGUGUUCUAGAGUGUUCUAGUGAAUGAGUUCUUUACCCGUUUUGGCGUACCCACGGAAUUGCACUCUGAUCAAGGCCGUGACUUUGGGUCCCAAGUGUUCCGUGAAUGUUGCGAGCUGUUAGGAUUGUGCAAGACCCGUACGACGCCCCUACACCCACAGUCUGGUGGGAUGGUGGAGAGAUUUAAUCAGAUACUUGCGCAAUAGCUGACCAAGUAUUGCAAGGAAGACCAAGGAUAUUGGGACGUCAAACUGCCCACUAUGCUGAUGGUGUACAGGUCCGCUGUGCAUGAGGCGAUGGACUUCACACCAGCCUGUCUCAUGUUUGGCCGUGAGCUCAGGCUGCCAGUGGACCUGGCCACAAAGGCUUCCUUAUGUGAGCUUGCCCACCGUCACCUCUGGGCAUGCAGCAGCACUGCAGGAACACCUGGUGGAGGUGCAUCUAUGGGCUCGAGGCAAGCUCAAGGUGGUGGGCCAGGCUAUGACCGCUGCAUGAGGAACAUGAGGUAUGCUGUGGGAGACCAAGUGUGGCUGUAUAACCCCCGCUGGAAGUGAGGGCUCUCACCAAAGCUCCAGAGCCCCUGGGAGGGGCCAUACAUGGUGGAAGCAGUCCUCUUUGAUGUCACAUAUCGGAUUUGCCGGGGACGGAAGUGACCGUCUGUUGUCCACGUGGACCGGCUGUGGCGUUACCACGGUCCAGCCCGCUACUCCUGGGGCCAUGGCGGAGAAGACGAGGACAUAAGCCCCAGCAGCAGUGACGAGGACGUGGCAGGGGCUGCCCGAGACAGGAAUGAGCGUGGAGCAGGCAGCGCAGCGAGUGACAGUGGUGACCUUGACUCUGAACUUGGGGCUAGAGACACCCUCCUGGGUGGCGCUGCUGACUCACCGCAGCUGACGCCUCCACCACCACAGCAACCUUGGCGGUAGAGGCAUAGACCAGGGUGGAUGAGAGACUUUUGUGAUGUUCCUGAGGAUUAAUUUUCUUUGUGUAUUUCAUUUAUUUAUUUCCACUUAUUUUCUUGUGUGUAUGUGUGUGUCAGGGAAGCCGGAUCGUCUGCCUUGUAUGGGGGAGGGAUAGUGUUACACCAGGGGUAUGGGUGCGGGUGGCAGCACUGUUGGAGGUGGCAGCACUGGGAGAGGCGGGAAGGCAGGGAGAGCGGAGAUGGGUGGCCCGAGAGGAAGCCAGCAUGUGCCUGCCUGUUUUGGAAGUGUUUCCCUGCCUGUUGAGUGCCCUGUUGAGUGUCUGUCAUGCCCUGGGAGACUUGUAGUGCCCCUGUGAACUUGUAAAGCAGUGUACUUGCGGAAGAUUUGUCAAUAAACCUAAGAAAUAGU
RNA transcript from Scylla paramamosain (green mud crab), 17175 nucleotides. It is a transcript of the gene named ER degradation-enhancing alpha-mannosidase-like protein 1, with no coding region annotated. The record is from RefSeq and is a predicted model, not a curated record. Lineage: Eukaryota; Metazoa; Arthropoda; Malacostraca; Decapoda; Portunidae. The transcript has 11 exons.